Molecule: ribosomal RNA, 468 nt
Filed under: uncultured bacterium
Lineage: Bacteria
Description: partial 16S ribosomal RNA
Rfam family: Bacterial small subunit ribosomal RNA
Source: RNAcentral
GACGAACGCUGGCGGCAUGCUUAACACAUGCAAGUCGAACGGAAAGGCCCUGCUUUUGUGGGGUGCUCGAGUGGCGAACGGGUGAGUAACACGUGAGUAACCUGCCCUUGACUUUGGGAUAACUUCAGGAAACUGGGGCUAAUACCGGAUAGGAACUCCUGCUGCAUGGUGGGGGUUGGAAAGUUUCGGCGGUUGGGGAUGGACUCGCGGCUUAUCAGCUUGUUGGUGGGGUAGUGGCUUACCAAGGCUUUGACGGGUAGCCGGCCUGAGAGGGUGACCGGCCACAUUGGGACUGAGAUACGGCCCAGACUCCUACGGGAGGCAGCAGUGGGGAAUAUUGCACAAUGGGCGGAAGCCUGAUGCAGCAACGCCGCGUGCGGGAUGACGGCCUUCGGGUUGUAAACCGCUUUCGCCUGUGACGAAGCGUGAGUGACGGUAAUGGGUAAAGAAGCACCGGCUAACUACGUG